Molecule: ribosomal RNA, 465 nt
Filed under: uncultured bacterium
Lineage: Bacteria
Description: partial 16S ribosomal RNA
Rfam family: Bacterial small subunit ribosomal RNA
Source: RNAcentral
GACGAACGAGGGAGGAGGGAGGACAAAAGGCAACUCGAACGGAAAGGCCCUGCUUGCAGGGUACUCGAGUGGCGAACGGGUGAGUAACACGUGGGUGAUCUGCCCUGCACUUCGGGAUAAGCCUGGGAAACUGGGUCUAAUACCGGAUAGGAGCCAUUUUUAGUGUGAUGGUUGGAAAGUUUUUUCGGUGUAGGAUGAGCUCGCGGCCUAUCAGCUUGUUGGUGGGGUAAUGGCCUACCAAGGCGGCGACGGGGUCGCGGCCUGAGAGGGUGGACGGCCACAUUGGGACUGAGAUACGGCCCAGACUCCUACGGGAGGCAGCAGUGGGGAAUAUUGCACAAUGGGCGCAAGCCUGAUGCAGCGACGCCGCGUGGGGGAGUUCUUGCUUGGGGUUGUAAACUCCUUUCGCUAGGGACGUAGCUUUUUGUGACGGUACCUAGAUAAGAAGCAUCGGCUCCCUACGUU